UGCUUCUUGAAGUUUUAGAUU
RNAcentral lists this non-coding RNA (21 nucleotides) under Caenorhabditis elegans. The record is from RNAcentral. Lineage: Eukaryota; Metazoa; Nematoda; Chromadorea; Rhabditida; Rhabditidae.